Molecule: long non-coding RNA, 517 nt
Filed under: Monodelphis domestica (gray short-tailed opossum)
Lineage: Eukaryota; Metazoa; Chordata; Mammalia; Didelphimorphia; Didelphidae
Description: lncRNA (ENSMODG00000043028.1)
Source: RNAcentral
AGUAGGCACUUAAUAAAUGUUUGUUCCUCUUUCCUUCCUUAAGAUUCCUUCCUGCACUGUCAUUUUGUAUUGCAAAGGACCAAACCUGAUCCUCUUAUGAAAUUAUAACUUCAUUAGGGGGCAAAUGGAAGCUGAUGAUGGAGAAAGAAAAAGAAAGAGAGAAAGAAAGGAGGAAAGAGAGAAAGAGAAGGAAAGAGAGAAAGAGAGAGAAAGGAAGAAAGGAAGAAGGAAGGAAGGAAGAAAGGAAGAAAGGAAGAAAGGAAGAAAGAAAGAAAGAAAGAAAGAAAGAAAGAAAGAAAGAAAGAAAGAAAGAGAGAGAGAGAGAGAGAGAAAGAAGGAAGGAAGGAAGGAAGGAAGAAAGAAAGAAAGAAAGAAAGAAAGAAAGAAAGAAAGAAAGAAAGAAAGAAAGAAAGAAAGAAAGAAAGAAAGAAAGAAAGAAAGAAAGAAAGAAAGAAAGAAAGAAAGAAAGAAAGAAAGAGAAAGAAAGAGAGAGAGAGAGAGAAAGAGGGAGAGAAAA